UACUAAAGUGAUAAUACAACCCAAAAAUAAGUUUAUACUCGAGUGUGUGCCAAGACCUGGUGUCACAAGUAAUAGACAUCUAGUAGAAUAUACAAAAGAAUAUCUCUAUCCUACUGUCUGAGAUAGAAAAGACAUCAAAAGUAAGAAAAGACUCCAUCCGGCUGCUGAACGGCAUAGGAAGGAAGCAGCUCACCGUGGAAGUCUCGGUUUAUGAAUCAGGGGCGUGCACCAGACUGAUAGCCAGAUGUACCUGCCUCAGAUCCUGUACAAUAAAGUGAUUUAAGCUAAUUCAAUAAGCGGAGAAGGAUAUAUUCCACAUCAAUUUAAAGUCAUUUUUACACAUUGAUCAAAGAUACCAACACUUAAACCAAAUAUCAAAGAAGAGCAUGAAGACAUAAUAUUCAUAAGACAACAUGUAUUUCAGUUAGUUAAAGUUGGUUUCAAACAAAACAUUUUAAAACCAAUAAGCCGAUGCAAAGUCAUGGUGUAUAACAUGUCAUCUAAGAAUUCUAACAUAAAGUUCACUUAUGCUUGUAGCAGGAUAGAAUAGAAAAAGAGUCGCAACUUAUUCCAAGUUGUCUUAUUAAAAACAAAAGAAAAAUAAAAUAUACCAGAGUAUUGGAGAAAAUGACACACACAUUUCUGCAUUCCAAGCACAAAAUAGACUCCAAAUCAGUUUCUAAAGUCAGCAAAUGUACUCUAUAGAACAAAUAAUAUGGACACGAGUCAAACACCAUAGGAUCAAAAUAUAAAUUCCUAAGAGCAUGAUUUCUAAACACAUCUUUAUCUAGAAUUUCAGGAAUGCAUUUUUAAGAUAAUUAAAGUCUAAAACAUGAUUCUUAAAUACAACAUUUUUUAACAAAAAAGAGAAAAGAAACAGAAUGGGGUCAAAUAUUACCUCUUGUAGUGAAGCGAACCAGAGCUUCGACCUCGAAUCUACUCUCUCGUUAUGAACAGAUCCGAACCUCAAGUCGAAUGGGUUCGAGCACCUCUAUUGCGGCUAAAGUACACUGAGAUAUUAAAUAAAGUUUGAAAGCUCUUUCUGAGAGUUUCUAAGAGACGAGAAGAGUGAUAAGAGUAAGAAAAAUAGUAGUGUUUACAGUAGUGUUCGAGCGGCGGCUCCAACCUAUCUAAACCCACCCGGAUGUGAGUAUUUAUAAGAGAUGUAGAUCUAGGGUUCAUGUUUGGGCGGGAUUUUGCAAACUUCAAAUUUUGAGAAAUAGUCGUUGUGAGAGGUCAAAAUUGUGAUGCAAGAUAGCAGAAAAAGGGACUGACAUGGAUGGAUGAACAAAGAAAAGGGG
Molecule: long non-coding RNA, 1301 nt
Filed under: Nicotiana tabacum (common tobacco)
Lineage: Eukaryota; Viridiplantae; Streptophyta; Magnoliopsida; Solanales; Solanaceae
Description: long non-coding RNA (NTAB_LNC001123)
Source: RNAcentral